CAGGCAAUGGAGGAAGGGCAGGCACUGGUACAGACUGGAGGGUGCAAGGAAGGCAGAGCCAAGGUCACCAACUGGGCAUGCAGCUCUUCCAACCCUGGCCAGCUCUUCUUCAGCAUCUCUGGAUCCUGGGCCAACUCUGUGUGAAGUUCCGUGGUGAAGUGUGCCAGCUCUUCUACAGGUCACUGGCAUCUUUAAAGUCAGAGGCUUGGAGACAGUGAGAGACUGACGAAGAUUCCAGUGUGAUACCAAUGUGACCAGUAUUGAUUUCCUCAGAAAGCAAAGCCUGAGGCAGAGGACAUAUAUGCCGUUUCCCAUUGGGGGAGCAAAGCAGAGAAGGACGGAGAGCCAAUGAAAUGGUGUGUUAUCAAGCUGGCCAUCUUUAUGUGCAAUAUGAUUGCUCAAUCUGUGGGACUGUGCCCCAGAGAAGCCCCAUUUCGUCAGUCUCAGGACUUCUCUAGCUGGUGGAAGCAGGAGGAAGCUGGGGCAGGAGACAGGGACACCAAAGAGGAAUGAAUUGAUUCAUUGUCUCCUGUCACUCUUGGGUGGAAGGUUUGCCCCACAGAUAUUUGCCGAUUGACCAGUCAUCAAAUCUAAACUUUUUCUUUUUUUUUUUUUUGA
Long non-coding RNA from Macaca mulatta (Rhesus monkey), 618 nucleotides. RefSeq lists it as uncharacterized. NCBI's taxonomy places the organism in Eukaryota, Metazoa, Chordata, Mammalia, Primates, Cercopithecidae. The record is from RefSeq and is a predicted model, not a curated record.